CCUACGGGAGGCAGCAGUGGGGAAUAUUGGGCAAUGGGCGCAAGCCUGACCCAGCAACGCCGCGUGAAGGAAGAAGGCCUUCGGGUUGUAAACUUCUUUUGUUAGGGAAGAGUAGAAGACGGUACCUGACGAAUAAGCUACGGCUAACUACGUGCCAGCAGCCGCGGCAAUACGUAGGUGGCAAGCGUUGUCCGGAUUUACUGGGUGUAACGGGCGUGUAGCCGGGUUGACAAGUCAGAUGUGAAAUCCUGCGGCUUAACCGCAGAACUGCAUUUGAAACUGGUGGUCUUGAGUACUGGAGAGGCAGAUGGAAUUCCUGGUGUAGCGGUGAAAUGCGUAGAUAUUAGGAAGAACACCAGUGGCGAAGGCAGUCUACUAGACUGCAACUGACGGUGAGGCGCGAAAGCGUGGGGAGCAAACAGGAUUAGAUACCCAUGUAGUC
This 442-nucleotide ribosomal RNA is filed under the name uncultured bacterium. RNAcentral describes it as "partial 16S ribosomal RNA". It matches the Rfam family "Bacterial small subunit ribosomal RNA", at positions 338 to 795 of the family's 1533-position model. The record is from RNAcentral.